GAUCCACCUGCCUUGGCCUACCAAAGUACUGGGAUUACAGGCGCGAGCCACUGUGCCCGGCUGGUCUCUGACACAUCUAAGCUAUGAAGCAUUAGGUAAAUUUCUGACCAUCUCUGACCCCCAUCUAUGAAAGACUCGUAGGGUGGUUGAAAUUGCACCACAUAUACAAUAUCUGGCCCAAUGUAGGAAAUGUAUAAAUGUUAGCUUCAUCCCCCAGGGAAGCCCACUGAGAUCCAUAUGAGUCCUUUGUCUGUGUCUCCCCAUAAUGUGACCUUUAGAAGUUGCCAAUGGCCCACCCAAUACCCAACCGUGAUUUUUCUGAGAUAAUCUGCCUGAGGUGUGUGAGAGGAAAGGCGAAGAAGGCAGUCAGGAGGAUUCACUCGCGGGGGAGCUGGGUAGGAUCCUAUCUCCUCCUACAUCCAGAGCAUGCAGGCUCCAUUUAGAUACAAAGGGGUCAGAUUGGGUUACUGGGGAGAAAUUGAGCCCCUUUGAUUCUGCGGUUCUGUGGGUCUAAAUCUGGCAGCUUCUUGGCUAUCCACCCCCAGGCUUUGUGAUUGGUUGGCUGUGGUUGGUGGGGGGGCAGGAAGCUGCUGGUGGAGCUGCAGCAUCCUUCAGUCUCAGGCCCCCAGGAGGGGGAGGGGAAAGAACAAGGGCUGAGCCGUGGAGGGAAGAGGAGCCAUUUCUCUCCACCGACUGCAACCUCCGUGCUCACAGCUCACGUUUCACCAGAAUCCAGGGGCCUGGUCGGCCUAGGAAUCCACAAUGCUGGAUAUUUUCAUCCUGAUGUUCUUUGCUAUCAUAGGCCUGGUCAUUCUGUCCUACAUUAUCUAUCUGCUCUAGUGGCCUGGAGCUGCGGCUGGAGCCUGCUGGAGAACAGCUCAGAGGGAAGGAUGGAGCUGAAUGGCCGAGUGCCCUGCUUGCUGACGCACCGGUGGAUUUUUGCUUCUGGCUGUUAUCUCGGCUCCUGGUCUCUCCAGUCCAACAAGAGGUCUCUCAUCCACAGCAGCAGUCCCGCUGCCCAGCAGACCUCUUUCAGAGCCUUCCAGACAUGGCUGACCCCUGGCAAGCAAGGGGCUUUUUGAGCUGAGAGGCACUUGGCUGGGACAUCAGGAAUUCAUGGACAUGGCUGGCAGAUACUGCAUGUGUUUGAGCUGUAGAUAGAGGGGAUUGAGAACAGAAAGUUGAAAUGGAGACUUAUUAAAGUUACAGUGGAGAACUGCUCAAAAAUUCAUUUUGAAUUAAGGAAACUUAAAUUUCCUUAAUUUAAGGAAACUUAAAUUCAUUUUAAGUUUCCUUAGAUCUAAAUGCAACUGCACAUUACACUCAAAUAUGUUCCUUCCUUCUCACACACAGGGCUCCCUUGUGAAACUCAAGGGGAAGUUCAAGUUGUCCAUCUUCACCUAUGAAGUAGUCACUUUAUCACUGUCUUUACAGAUUGCACAAUCUGGGGUUUUGUGGUUUCUCUUGUCUCACUCUCCAGCCAGGAAGAACUUGUCAUUUGAGUUUUUAAAAUUUAUCAUUUCUUCCCUACCUCAAACCACUUGUAUCCCAGUUUCUCAUUUGAAGGGAGAAAUGGUUAUGUAGUCCUCAUCCUUGCAGCUUAUUGAAUUAUAAAUGAUAGAAACAAGAUGGCUAUACUUAUUUAGGAAAAAUCUCUUACCCCAAAAUGAGUGUGUGUGUGUGUGUGUGUGUGUGUGUGUGUGUGUGUGUGUGUUUUGUCAAAGAUCUUUUCUGGAAAAAAAAAAACUUUCCACAUAGUUCUCUGACCCAUUAGAGUUGAAGAAACUAUAUAUUUUGGGAUUCAGAGUAGAAUUGGCUUGCAAAUCUGGGGUGUUUAUUCCUUUUACAAGUCUGUCGUAAUUGUUCUACAUUUAAUUUUCCCUUCUCACUUAAAAAUAAACAAGGAGAGUCAGGCGCGGUGGCUCACACCUGUAAUCCCAGCACUUUGAGGCGGGCAGAUCACCUGAGGUCAGGAAUUGGAGACCAGCCUGGCCAACAUGGUAAAACCCCAUCUCUAAUAAAAAUACAAAAAUUAGGCACGGUAGUGCACGCCUGCCGUCCCAGCUACCUGGGAGGCUGAGGCUGAAGAAUCGCUUGAACCUGGGAGGCAGAGGUUGUAGUGUGCUGAGAUCAUGUCACUGCACUCCAGCCUGGGAGACAUAGUGAGACUACAACUCAAAUAAAAUAAAAUAAAAUAAAAUAAAUAAAUAAAUAAGGAGAAAGGUUAAAUUAAUAGCUUUUAGUAAUAACAUUGUGUCCAAUUUCCAUGUUUUAAAACAAAAAUUGAGGCAUUAUAUGUCACAAUUAAAAUGGAAAAGUUGCAUUUAAAAAUUAUGGACAAGGCCAGGCACAGUGGCUCACGCCUGUAAUCCCAGCACUCUGGGAGGCCGAGGCAAGCAGAUCACUUGAGGUCAGGAGUUUGAGACCAGUCUGACCAACAUGGUGAAACGCUGUCUCUACUAAAAAUACAAAAAUUACGUGGUGUGGUGGCAGGUGCCUGUAAUCCCAGCUACUCAGGAGGCUGAGGCAGGAGAAUGGCUUGAACCUGGGAGGCGGAGGUUGCAGUGAGCUGAGAUCACACCUCUGCACUCCAGCCUGGGUGACACAGCGAGAUUCCAUCUCAAUAAUAAUAAUAAUAAUAAAAACAUAAGAAUUAUGGACAAGAAAAAACACAAUUCUGGAAGCUUUGUUUUGGCAACAGAUUAUGUGACUUUGCAUAAGUCAUUUAAACUUCAGGGCUAGGCCAGGCGCUAUGGAACAUGCCUAUAAUCCCAGCAUUUAGGGAGGUAGAAGCAGGAGGAUAGCUUGAGGCCAGGAAUUCCAGACCAGCCCAGGCAACAUAGCGAGACCCCCAUCUCCACAAAAAUAAAAAAUAAAAUAAAAAUAAAUAAAUACAUAAGCUUUAGGUCUUCUGUUUAUUCUGUCAAAUGAAAGUGUUAGGCCAAGGUCGCAUUAUCUCUUUGGAAACUACAUCAUUGAGAACAGAAUUCCCAUGGAACAAACUCUUAAUAGCUCACUGGUAGUCCCCCUUUUCUGAAUAUUCUCCCCAACAUGACAUUUGAUAGUGAAAAUUUAACUGCAAAACUCCCUUUUUUUUUUUUUUUUGCACCAACAGCCAGAUUUUGAUGAGAAAAUGGCCAUAUUUAUUUACUCCGAAUAUAUAUUAUGUCAGUGAUAAUUUGCCUAAACUGUUUCAGGAAUAUUAACAAGUAUGAUACUGCAUUGUGGUAUACUGCAAAAAGACAGGUAAUCUGACAUACAUGGAUGCAAGAAGCAUGACUGUGAACCUGGAUAUAUUUAGGAAUGAUCUUCAGUGGAGUCCUUGACGUGACAUUUUCCACUAAAAUAUUCUUCUAACUCCAGUAUAACUUAGUGUUUCAAACUACAAUUUCCCUCUUCAAGCCAAGACAGCAGCUCUACAUCCUUACCUAGGUAAUUCAGGCAAGUGCCAGUAUUUUGGAGGAGUUCAAAUUAGAGUUAGUUAUGACGGUAUAGAUCUUUAAGGCAUAGUCUAACCAAGCUUGCUCUAGUCUUUUGUGACAUCAAGGCUUCUCAGUCUGUAUUCUUACAAAGUUGAACCAACUAAUCAAUUCAGUGAAAAAAAAUCAGCAGAUUUCACUCAUACACUGGUGACAUAUACCACUGGUACUGGGUACAAUGUAAGGAGAGAAGAUUACCCAUCUCUUCAGUUGUAAAAUAGGAUUUAAAAAAAAUAAAUACAUACAUUUUGGAAAAAAUGUAUGACUUUGUGCUUAUAUUUAUGCAACAGUAUGCUAGCUUAUAACAGGGUUUUACUGUAUUAUUUUGAUAGUUGUUUAAAUUUUACAUUUAAACUAUUUGUAUUUUGGCAUCCCAAAACAUAAUAAAACACUGAAAAAAGUUACUUCUGUAAUAUAAGGUUUUGUAUAAAUUUUAUAAAUCUGUGUCAUAGGGUAAUUUUGUCCAAUAAAAUGUCAAUGAAAUAAAAACCA
Molecule: long non-coding RNA, 3971 nt
Organism: Chlorocebus sabaeus (green monkey)
Lineage: Eukaryota; Metazoa; Chordata; Mammalia; Primates; Cercopithecidae
Source: RefSeq, a predicted model, not a curated record